UGUAUCAAGGGAUUGAAUACAAUAAAAGCCCAAAAAUUUGCACUGAAGUGAAGUGAAGUAACAAUGUCUGUCAGAAUCGGUAAAGAGGUGGUCUUGAAAGAAGAAUUCGUCUGGUACGGUGAGAGUCAGUCUGAAUACCGAAAAAGAAUGUUAACUUGGAUACCAAAAUAAAUGGUAACACAGAAAUAACCAUGGCCUGAAUGCCG
RNAcentral lists this long non-coding RNA (206 nucleotides) under Lathyrus oleraceus (garden pea). RNAcentral's name for it is "Pisum sativum (pea) long non-coding RNA (PSAT_LNC025010)". The record is from RNAcentral. Lineage: Eukaryota; Viridiplantae; Streptophyta; Magnoliopsida; Fabales; Fabaceae.